GGCUCGCUACCGUGCCUGCAAGCACAGGCAGAAAAAUGUGAGCGGUUCUAAUUCAUGGGCACAGUCUCCGUAUAACCACCACCCAGUGAGCAGUGGCUCGCCCCACCACAGAAAAACCCUGCAACUGUCCCUGUGUGCCGCCACCAGCAUUUCUUCAGCAACACGGGUGAGAGGCAAGCGUUCAGACCAUGGAAGGCAGCCCCUUAGGAGAAUCACCAUGGAGAGCUUCCGUGCUGGGGUGAGCUCGCUGACGGUGCGGGACUGCUGUUUCUCAGUGUCUGCGGUGCCAGGGGACGGUGGCAGAGGCAUAAAUAUGCAGUAACAAGCUCUGUGAGCGCACGGGGAUCUCAAGAGAACUUGAGAGAUGCUACAGGGACUGAAGAUCCCCCUGUGGCAGCACCCAGCACCUCGGUCUGGUUAACUGCUCUAGCUGAAGCCUGACCCGUUUGCCUCAGACAUUGGUUCCCACACCAGGACUGCUGUGCCUAUGGCACACAGCGGCUAUAGGAACGUCUCCAUCCCAUUGCUCGUGUGUCCCACCAGCCUAAAACACCCUUUACCCUCGCGUCCCAUGUGAGCGUCAUCUGUUCUUUAAAUGAUCGGUUUCCCGUUUUCUUUACUAAGCAUGCCUGUGGGAGCAAUUGUUUUCUUCCCAUCUUCCUCUCCCCUUCUGACUGCCCACGGUACUUUCUGACUUAGACGGAGUGAGCGUCAUAGCUGGGUGGGGAGGAAGAGAUAUGUCAGACCUUUUAACAUGUCUGCUCCAUGGCAAGUGCCCUUCUACAUGCAGAUUGGAGGACUCAGGCCCACAGGAAGAUGUAAAGAUGCUGAGAAACACACCAGGGUUGUUUCUGCCAUAACUCCCAAGGCAGAUUUUAACCUUGGCUUGUUUCUUUGUGUGUGAGACAGGGUUUCAAAAAGAUAGGGUUUGUUCAGUCCUGCUUGUCCCAGAAUUCACUCUUUGGACCAGGCUGGCCUCA
Molecule: non-coding RNA, 980 nt
Organism: Myodes glareolus (Bank vole)
Lineage: Eukaryota; Metazoa; Chordata; Mammalia; Rodentia; Cricetidae
Source: RefSeq, a predicted model, not a curated record